Molecule: ribosomal RNA, 1428 nt
Filed under: Triticum aestivum (bread wheat)
Lineage: Eukaryota; Viridiplantae; Streptophyta; Magnoliopsida; Poales; Poaceae
Description: partial small subunit ribosomal RNA
Source: RNAcentral
AUGAGUGUACAGGUCACCGGGCGAGCACAGAGGAUUCGUGCUGUGCUGGUGUGGAGGCGGAGCGGACCAGCGUCGUCGGCAUUCCGUGUUUGUUUAACAGCAGGCCCUCGGCCGACGCGUGGAGUGGAGUGGGCUGGGCUGGGCUGGGGACCGACCGUCCAUGUGCAGUGCAGUAGUGGUCCCAAAUUGUUUAUUCCUCCACCGGGGGUCCUCGCUUCUUCUUCUCCUCCCAGAAAAAAAAAAGAAAAGAAAAGAAAAGAAAUCGGAAAAUGCCGGACAGACACCAUCGGCAAGGACACCUACCACCACACCUUCUUCGAGAUGCUCGGCAACUGGUCCUUCAGGGACUACUUCAAGGACGGGGCCAUCGCAUACGCAUGACAACUACUCACACAGGUCUACAAAUUGCCCACUGAUAGGAUUUAUGCAACAUACUUUGGUGGUGAUGAGAAAGCUGGUCUUGUUCCUGACACCGAGUCGAAAGACAUAUGGUUGAAGUAUUUACCGAAUGAAAGAGUUCUGCCUUUCGGUUGCAAGGAUAACUUUUGGGAGAUGGGCGACACAGGUCCUUGCGGCCGAUGCACAGAGAUUCAUUUUGACCGUAUUGGCAACCGUGACGCAGCCUCAUUAGUCAAUAAUGAUGACCCUACAUGUAUUGAGAUAUGGAAUCUUGUGUUUAUUCAGUUCAACAGGGAAUCAGACGCUACUUUGAGAUCCUUGCCAGCAAAACACGUUGACACUGGAAUGGGCUUUGAGCGUUUAACUUCUACCCUUCAGAAUAAAAUGAGCAAUUACGACACAGAUGUAUUCAUGCCGUUAUUUGAUGCCAUCCACAAGCUGGCAGGCGCUGGAAUUCAACCAUACUCUGGUAAAGUAGGAUCCGAUGAUGUUGGGAAAGUUGAUAUGGCAUAUAGGGUUGUUGCAGAUCACAUAAGAACCCUUUCUUUUGCUAUUGCUGAUGGUUCUCAACCUGGAAAUGAGGGAAGAGAGUAUGUUCUAAGGCGUAUACUUAGACGUGCUGUUCACUUUGGUCAUCAAAAAUUGAUGGCAAAGCAAGGAUUUUUUAGCUCCCUUGUAGAUGUUUUUGUCCGAGUGAUGGGUGAUGUGUUUCCUGAGCUGAAGGACAAUGAAAAGAAGAUUAAAGAUAUAAUUAAAGAAGAAGAGGCAAGCUUUGAGAACACUCUAGCGAAGAGAUAUGAGAGAUUUAAGAAAGCUGCAGAUGCUGUCAAGGAGAAUGGUGGGGCAGUACUUAGUAGCCAGGAUGCAUUUGUUCUGUGGGACACAUAUGGCUAUCCAAUUGAUUUGACGGAGGUCAUGGCAGUUGACUUUGGGCUAUCUGUUGACAUGGAGGGUUUUAAUGUUUCUAUGGAAGAAGCAAGGCAAAAGGCUAGGAAUGCUCGCUACAAGGUUGUAUUUAUUUCUUCUUAA